Ailuropoda melanoleuca (giant panda) is the source of this 739-nucleotide long non-coding RNA. RefSeq lists it as uncharacterized. The transcript is spliced from 3 exons. The record is from RefSeq and is a predicted model, not a curated record. NCBI's taxonomy places the organism in Eukaryota, Metazoa, Chordata, Mammalia, Carnivora, Ursidae.
CGCGGAGCCCCCGAGCCGCCCUAGGGCGGCGGCGGGUCCUCUCCCGGCGGGCGCUCGGAGCUGCCAAGCAGCGUUCCAUCAGGCAUCCAUUUCUGUUCCCUUCAGCGGAGGUGAAAUGAUCCUUUCCAGCUGUUGUCCAGAAGCACCUAGGGACUCCUCCCUUCAGAUACUUCCAGCACUCCGAUGAACCACGGAAUUGGAACCCCUUCAUUUAGACGUCUGUUGAGCUACUGGGAUACACUGGGCCCUGUGAUGGAGAUCACAAGCUGAGCAAGAUGCGGCCCCUGUUGGCAGAGUACUUCCAAGCCCAUGGGAAACAGACACACACAACCAAGGAGAACUCAGAGACGUGAACACCCCGAGUUUCAUGAACCAAGUGCCGCAGGAAUCCAGAGGCCCUAGACUCCAGAGCCGGAACUCCUGUGGGCACCUCCCGGAGCCAGGACUGUGAAACCGAACACGUGGAUAGAACACCCAGGAGGACGUUCUGUGCUCCAGGGCCCUCUAGCCCCAAACCCCACUUUUUCUCCCUAAGACAAGGCUUCCUAGUCUGGGGCCUUCAGACGUUGGCUGUAAUACCUAAAACGUGUCGCAAGGUGGCAACGUUGUGGCGAGAAAUAGACUUUUUAAAAAUCCUGGGGUUUUUUUUCAAAGCAUAUUUUCCCUAUUAAUGUUUCAUUUAACUUAAUUAGAAUCUGGUAAACUAAUUAAAGUAGCUACGAGCCCCGCAAUCAGCAAU